GAUGAACGCUGGCGGCGUGCCUAACACAUGCAAGUCGAGCGAACAGACGAGGAGCUUGCUCCUUUGACGUUAGCGGCGGACGGGUGAGUAACACGUGGAUAACCUACCUAUAAGACUGGGAUAACUUCGGGAAACCGGAGCUAAUACCGGAUAACAUGUUGAACCGCAUGGUUCAACAGUGAAAGACGGUCUUUCUGUCACUUAUAGAUGGAUCCGCGCCGCAUUAGCUAGUUGGUAAGGUAACGGCUUACCAAGGCAACGAUGCCUAGCCGACCUGAGGGGGGGAUCGGCCCCGGUGGAGGUGAGAGGCGGUCCAGACUCCGACGGGAGGCAGCGGUAGGGAAUCUUCCGCAAUGGGCGAAAGCCUGACGGAGCAACGCCGCGUGAGUGAAGAAGGGCUUCGGAUCGGAAAACUCUGUUAUUAGGGAAGAACAAAUGUGUAAGUAACGAUGCGCGUCUUAACGGUACCGAAUAAGAAGGCCACGGCUAACUACGU
Molecule: ribosomal RNA, 496 nt
Filed under: uncultured bacterium
Lineage: Bacteria
Description: partial 16S ribosomal RNA
Rfam family: Bacterial small subunit ribosomal RNA
Source: RNAcentral